GUUAAUUGAUUCUUCUGCUGUCCCUUAGAAAUGUAUUUGUAGAAUUUUAAAGCAAAGCACAUCUCAGACCUUGUUGGAAAUUCAAAGUUGUUUGGAUUUCAGAAUAAUGGGAACUAUAGUUACAUUGUUUAUUUUCUCUUUCAUUGCUUUUGUAACCCUUUUAAGCAAUAACUACCUAACAGGCAUGGGAUUAGGCACUGAAGAUAAAAUAUUCUGUGCCCUCAAAUAUUUUAUGUACAUACAUAGAGUGUAUGUGUUAAUUGUUAGUCCUGUUUUAGAAACAAUGCCCCUUAGGAAGUCCUCCAUCUUAGGAGGAUUCCCAAAAGAAGGAUGGUUUCUGUUCUUGAAUUACAAUUUUAUGCCCUAUCUACCCUCCACCCCAUCUCUAUUUAGUGAAGUAGUUGUAAUCUACGUAUGCCAGCCCUCAUAGCCUCACUCCUGUAACUCAACUGUAGAGUCCAUAAAACCAGGCUCAUUGCAAACACAGCAGUGGCAGCUGACAGGUGUUUACCAGAUAUCUAUGAUGCAGAAUUUUAUGGGGGAUGAAGAAGUCAAGAAUUUGCUGCAGACUUGUCAGAGGCAAGUUGCAUACAUUGCCCAUGACAAUGAUCUCUGUCCUACUGCAUCUUAUAAACUGAGUAUACCACUUUGACUGUCAUCACAACAAUUUGUGUGACAGCAAACACCACAUGACCACCAGGUGUUUUAUAUCAGUAAAAUAUUAUUACGUACAGACAUUGCUAGAAAAUAUUUCCCAAUCUGAGGACUGACUAUAAAAUUUGAUCUCCCAGUGAUGACCUUGCCACAAAUGUGGCAUCACCUGGGGACUUGGGAGCCGAUAUGUGAGCUUUGCCUAUAUAUCUACUUCUAAUUGAUUUUUCUGAACCUUGGUUUGGGGGGUGUGGCAGUAGGGAGUUGGUCAGGAGGGCUGUUUCUUGUCCUUUCUAUGAUCUGAUUCAGUUCCCACCCCAUUUGUAUCUGGAUCUUCCCUUUCCUUUACCCUUUUUGUCCCUGUCCUGUUUAAUAUGGAUUUUUAUUCCCAAGGGAGUCUCCUCAAAGCAGAGAUGUAUCCUGGAAGGGAACUUCAGCUGGUGAAGUUUGAGAACUCAUAGGGCCCACCUGCUCAAAUCCCUUCAUCACUUAAGGUAAACUUUUUGUACAACAGCAGUUUGUCUGCUGUUGUCUGUGGUCCUCUGCAUUUUCAGUGAGUACCUUUGGGUGACUUGGGAGUUCCUCAGUUCUUAGGCCUAUUAGCUACCCAAAGCUUCCUUCUGCUGCUUCCUACAAAGAUGAUGUUUAUGCGGUGGGAGUCUUAUAGCCAUCAGUGGCUUAUCACACACUCUCAGAUUUGGAAAUUCUUGGGUGUCAGAUCCAAGAGAACUUCCUCUUCAAAAGUUUAGUUUGUUUAGUUUCUUUGUUCUCUGCUUUCAAGGUCCAACUUCCUUAUCCUUUGUGCCUCCCUGCUCCUAGUUCCAGUAAACAACUCUCCUGCCAGUCCUUAAUCUACAGAGCCCACAUCUACUACUCUAAUUUACCCCUCCCACUGUGACGGCUCUUCCCCCCAAAGCUGUCUUUCAAGUUAGCCAAUCGUGUUCAGUUUAGAUUGUGCAGUCCAACUUCAGCCAACGGAGACAGGACACAGUAGUAGAGACAAGCUGCGUUAGGAAUAAAAACCCUUCUCUCCUUUGUUCAGUGUGCUCUUGCAAUCAGACAGAUGCAGGCAGCACCCUUCUGCAACAGUAAAUUUGCCUUGUUAAAAAAUUUUCUGUCUAAGUGCUGGUUUCUCACUGCGGCACCAAGCACUUGUUACUAACAUUGGGGAUAAUUUAUCACAUGGUUUUGUUGUAGAUGUUGUCUGUGGGUUUUUGUUUUUUUCAUUUUAUUUAAGACUAGUCAAGUGUAGUAGUGAGAAAAGGGAAGAAGUAGAAACAAGGAGUUUGAUCUGUGACUGAACGAUCAAUUCAAACAGCUCCCUUCAUACCAGCCUUUUUUUUCUAUUUUCUCUUUUUUAUUUUAUUUUUAUUAUUAUUAUUAUUAUUUGAGAUGGAGUCCCUCUGUGUCGCUCCGACUCAUCUCAAACUCCUGGGUUCAAGUGAUCUUCCUGCCUCAGCCUCCCCAGGAGCUGUGAUUACAGGCAUAUAUUGCUGUACCCAUUUGCCACUUUUGUUGCUGUUUUUAUGUGGGAUGGAGGUGAUGGAUUGGAAAGAUUUUUAAAAUCAUGUGAUUACCAUCAUAUGAGAAUUUUCCUACGUCUUUUAGAGAAUUGCAUAUUGAAUAUAUUUUAAUGUACUUAUAUGUACUUAUUCAUCAUUCAUAUAUCUUCUUCGGUAAAGUGCCUGUUCAAAUAUUUUGCCCAUUUUAAAAGUGUGUUGUAUA
This 2376-nucleotide long non-coding RNA is filed under the name Macaca fascicularis (crab-eating macaque). RNAcentral describes it as "lncRNA (ENSMFAG00000057078.1)". The record is from RNAcentral. Lineage: Eukaryota; Metazoa; Chordata; Mammalia; Primates; Cercopithecidae.